UAAGUAUCUUUGUACAUAUCUCUCAGGACAUUUAAAAAAGAAAUAGUAUCAAAAUCCUUGGAAAAAUCUCCACAACAGGUUUAAAGCUAUAAAGUUUUCAAUAAUAGUACAAACAUAUGAUCACUAGUGCGUGCCCUUUAGCUGAAAACCUAUUUGUACAUUGUGUAAAAUAUCAUUUUUAUCCAAAUAUUCUGUAGUCUGUUAUGUAAAUUUGUUAAACUAUAAUUCACCAACCUGGAGAAAACAUGCUUUUUUCUGUUGUAGUAAUCCACAAAUACUUAAAUAACGAUAAUGUUCCAGUUUUAAAGGUUUAUAUUAUACAAAGUAAGAACGGGUUUUUCCAAAUACAGUAUCAAUUAAAUUUUACAGGUAUGUUAAUUUUUAAUCUAAGUUACGUCAUGUGACUUGCGAGAUUUUACGAUACUUUGCACUUCCGGGUACAAACAAAAAUCAACAUUGCUAAUCUAUAUUUGGUAUAUUUGUAUGCCAGUGGGAACGGAAAUUGACAGACAUUUUUUGUUUUAUAACGAAAUGCAAAUGGUUUCAUCUCAAUGAAAGACACUACGUAUAAUCUUCAGGUAUAUAGACUGAGGACAGUGGUGCUGUGAAUGAGGUCAGUAUCCGAUGUAACUUGUAGGAAUACAAAUGACAUGAUGUAGCUGCUGCAUAAUCGUUUUGGUAUGUGAUUCUAUGAUUGGAUCUGGAGUACUUGUCAUGACUCUUGAAUUAUUUUGGAGUCUUCACUACCAGAUAGAAACCAGCUUGUGAUACCACCAGACACAGUUGAAAGGAAAUGUCAUACACAUCCAUGGACAAGACAAUGGUAGAGACAUGGCAAUCCAUUACAGAUUUUGACUGAAUUAAAGCUUCUUAUAG
Ruditapes philippinarum (Manila clam) is the source of this 876-nucleotide long non-coding RNA. RefSeq lists it as uncharacterized. NCBI's taxonomy places the organism in Eukaryota, Metazoa, Mollusca, Bivalvia, Venerida, Veneridae. The transcript has 3 exons. The record is from RefSeq and is a predicted model, not a curated record.